RNAcentral lists this ribosomal RNA (212 nucleotides) under uncultured bacterium. RNAcentral describes it as "partial 16S ribosomal RNA". It matches the Rfam family "Bacterial small subunit ribosomal RNA", at positions 524 to 735 of the family's 1533-position model. The record is from RNAcentral.
UACAGAGGGUGCAAGCGUUAAUCGGAAUUACUGGGCGUAAAGCGUGCGUAGUCGGUUAUUUAAGUCGGGUGUGAAAGCCCCGGGCUCAACCUGGGAAUUGCAUUCGAUACUGGAUAGCUAGAGUUCGGCAGAGGGAAGCGGAAUUUCCGGUGUAGCGGUGAAAUGCGUAGAUAUCGGAAGGAACAUCAGUGGCGAAAGCGGCUUCCUGGUCC